Molecule: ribosomal RNA, 253 nt
Filed under: uncultured bacterium
Lineage: Bacteria
Description: partial 16S ribosomal RNA
Rfam family: Bacterial small subunit ribosomal RNA
Source: RNAcentral
UACGUAGGCAGCGAGCGUUGUUCGGAGUUACUGGGCGUAAAGCGUUCGUAGGCGGCUUUGUAAGUUUGGUGUGAAAUCUCCCGGCUCAACUGGGAGGGUGCGCCGAAAACUGCAAGGCUGGAGUGUGGGAGAGGUAGGCGGAAUUCCUGGUGUAGCGGUGAAAUGCGUAGAUAUCAGGAGGAACACCUGUGGCAAAGGCGACUACCUGGCCUGUUCUUGACGCUGAGGCGCGAAAGCUAGGGGAGCAAACGGG